This 440-nucleotide ribosomal RNA is filed under the name uncultured bacterium. RNAcentral describes it as "partial 16S ribosomal RNA". It matches the Rfam family "Bacterial small subunit ribosomal RNA", at positions 338 to 795 of the family's 1533-position model. The record is from RNAcentral.
CCUACGGGAGGCUGCAGUGGGGGAUAUUGCACAAUGGGGGAAACCCUGAUGCAGCGACGCCGCGUGUGGGAAGACGGUCCUCUGGAUUGUAAACCACUGUCCCCAGGGACGAAGAUGACGGUACCUGGGGAGGAAGCUCCGGCUAACUACGUGCCAGCAGCCGCGGUAAUACGUAGGGAGCGAGCGUUGUCCGGAAUUACUGGGUGUAAAGGGAGCGUAGGCGGGACUGCAAGUUGGGUGUCAAAUCUACGGGCUCAACCGGUAGCCGCACUCAAAACUGCAGUUCUUGAGUGAAGUAGAGGCAGGCGGAAUUCGUAGUGUAGCGGUGAAAUGCGUAGAUAUUAGGAGGAACACCAGUGGCGAAGGCGGCCUGCUGGGCUUUUACUGACGCUGAGGCUCGAAAGUGUGGGGAGCAAACAGGAUUAGAUACCCUUGUAGUC